ACGCUGUACUGGGCACUUCAGAGAAGAAGAUAAAAAAGCAUGAAGUCUCCCUCCACAAAGACAUCAUCUGGAGGAGCAGACUGACAUGUCCAUAUGUAAAAACUGUACACUGUACACAAGCAAACAAACAGCAAGCUCAGGGCAGAAGGUUUUGGGGCACAUGUGCAGGACUGUUAUAGAGAGAUAUUCCAGGGUUGUAAAGAUAACACUCAAUCUGAAUCAAAGGACAAAUUUGUUUCCUGACCAAGAUGAUCAAGAUAAUAUCUGUCUCCACAGGGGAGGAUGGACAGGUUUGCCAGCAGCCCGUUUAUAAUAUUAGGGAUCCUAGGCUCAGUGUUCCUAUGUGUCAUAGAUCCACAAUGUGCACAGUAUUAACCUGGGCCCACCUCCACAUCACCCCAUAGGUCUUGAGGAUCAAAGAGAAUCAGUAAGAACACAAAGCUCAAGUUGCCUACUGUGUUGUAAUAAACUGUCUAAAUCUG
Pan troglodytes (chimpanzee) is the source of this 482-nucleotide long non-coding RNA. RefSeq lists it as uncharacterized. The transcript is spliced from 3 exons. Lineage: Eukaryota; Metazoa; Chordata; Mammalia; Primates; Hominidae. The record is from RefSeq and is a predicted model, not a curated record.